Myotis lucifugus (little brown bat) is the source of this 75-nucleotide non-coding RNA. The record is from Rfam. Lineage: Eukaryota; Metazoa; Chordata; Mammalia; Chiroptera; Vespertilionidae.
GGCUGUUCUUGUGUGAUGCACUCUGGAAUCAGGCUCCCUCCUCUCUGGUUCCAGGUGCGUCACCCGAGAACUGCA